This 602-nucleotide small RNA is filed under the name Arabidopsis thaliana (thale cress). Its description in RNAcentral is "ATSL034460". The record is from RNAcentral. Lineage: Eukaryota; Viridiplantae; Streptophyta; Magnoliopsida; Brassicales; Brassicaceae.
UUAGAAGCAGUAAACAGUUUUGUUAGUGUUUUUAUGGUCAAAAUGUGUCACAAUCCGAUGCAUUUGACUAGUUAUAAGAGUUAGAGAUGGAUUAGGAGUGUUUAGACAACACUUAUACCCAUUUUCUCCCAAAAGAGGCUAAAAUCAACAAAAAUUGUUUUGAAACAGUAAACAGCUUUGUUAGUGUUUCUAUGGUCAAAAUGUGUCACAAUCCAAUGCAUUUGACUAAUUAUAAGAGUUAGAGAUGGAUUAGGAGUGUUUAGACAACACUUAUACCCAUUUUCUCCCAAAACAGGCUAAAACCAACAAAACAUUGCUUGAAACAGUAAAUAGCUUUGUUAGUGUUCCUAUGGUCAAAAUGAGUCACAAUCCAAAGCCUUUGACUAAAUAUAAGAGUUAGAGAUGGAUUAAGAGUGUUUAGACAAUACUUAUACCCAUUUUCUCCUAAAAGAGGCUAAAACCAACAAAAAUUUUCUUAAAAGCAGUAAAUAGCUUUGUUAGUGUUUCCAUGGUCAAAAUGUGUCACAAUCCAAUGUAUUUGACUAAUUAUAAGAGUUAUAGAUGGAUUAGGAGUGUUUAGACAACACUUAUACCUAUUUUUU